AGCUUUAUAGUCAAAAGAUGAUGUUAGAGUGCAAAUCUAGAGUUGUAAAUUUACUAAAGCUU
Molecule: transfer RNA, 62 nt
Filed under: Pachyphlegyas modiglianii
Lineage: Eukaryota; Metazoa; Arthropoda; Insecta; Hemiptera; Pachygronthidae
Description: tRNA-Cys
Source: RNAcentral